Molecule: ribosomal RNA, 520 nt
Filed under: uncultured bacterium
Lineage: Bacteria
Description: partial 16S ribosomal RNA
Rfam family: Bacterial small subunit ribosomal RNA
Source: RNAcentral
ACUCAAAGGAAUUGACGGGGGCUCACACAAGCGGUGGAGCAUGUGGCUUAAUUCGAGGCUACGCGAAGAACCUUAUCCUGGGCUUGACAUGUGCGAAAGCGGCAGGGAGUAGGAGCCCGAAAGGGUUUCCCAACGGUAUCCAGUCCGGAGCCUGCUACAGGUGCUGCAUGGCUGUCGUCAGCUCGUGUCGUGAGAUGUCGGGUUAAGUCCCAUAACGAGCGAAACCCUUGUCCGCAGUUGCCAACAGGUAAUGCUGGGGACUCUGCGGAGACUGCCGGCGUCAAGCCGGAGGAAGGUGGGGAUGACGUCAAGUCCUCAUGGCCUUUAUGCCCAGGGCUGCACACGUGCUACAAUGGCGUGGACAAAGGGACGCCAACGCGCGAGCGGGAGCCAAUCCCAAAAAGCACGCCCCAGUUCAGAUCGCAGGCUGCAACUCGCCUGCGUGAAGUUGGAAUCGCUAGUAAUCGCGGGUCAGCACACCGCGGUGAAUGUGUUCCUGAGCCUUGCACACACCGCCCGU